RNAcentral lists this long non-coding RNA (349 nucleotides) under Mustela putorius furo (domestic ferret). Its description in RNAcentral is "lncRNA (ENSMPUG00000029981.1)". The record is from RNAcentral. Lineage: Eukaryota; Metazoa; Chordata; Mammalia; Carnivora; Mustelidae.
GUGUGACUGCUGUUUCCUGUCGUGCUCUCACCGUACGCUCGUCAGGGUAUCAGCUGUUACUCAUUGGUAGUGUACGUCGGCUUCAUCCUCAUGGCCGUGCCCACCACUCUCCUCUAUUUCCUUCCACACUGCGCGAGAUCAGGGAAUGAGCUUGAUAUAACUGACUCCUGGUGUUUACUAAAGAGAGCCAAGCAACAGGGUAGAUCCUCUGAGAAGGCUCUGGAGGUUUGGAGCAGUCUGGAGAUUUGCAAUUUGGAGCAAUGUGGAGAUCAGCAAAACCUGUGAGUAUGUUGUUUUGUAUUUUAUUUUGUGUAGAUAUUUCUACAGAAGGAUUCCUUAUCAAGGAACA